Molecule: long non-coding RNA, 1798 nt
Filed under: Androctonus crassicauda
Lineage: Eukaryota; Metazoa; Arthropoda; Arachnida; Scorpiones; Buthidae
Source: RNAcentral
GCUUUGAAUGGGAGGGUUUUGGUUCGGCUUUGAAGCUUGUUUUUUGUGUUUUUCUUUUUAAUAAUAAUUAGAUUUUCAUUUAUAUUAUUUUAAAAGGGGACUUAUUUAACAAACCAAUAAUAAAUUUAGUUAGUCAAACUCUAACUUUUCUCAAGUUUCCAUGAAAAAGCAUACACUAGAACGGCACAUUAGGUAACUGUCUUAGACUGCCAAUUGUUUGAGGUCUGAGAGUGUCAAAGUGUUUGUUACUUUAAAUUAACUGAAUUUUAAUUAAUUUUGGAAAACAAAACAUUCAGAAUUUGCAUUUUUUUAAUCAAUUUUAAAUACCAAUAUUGAAAUUUAUACAAAAAUCUUAUUCAUUUUGUGAAAUAAUUUAAUGACAAUGAACCAAGGAGCUUGCAAUGAACACACAAAAAUUGACUAUGCUGUAAAGCUUUGAAAAUAAUGAUCAUAUGACAUCUAGUCUGAUGACUAUUAGUUUCAAACUAUCUACUUCAGUGGCUGGGUUUUUUUUAUUAACAGAUGACUCCAAGAUGCAAGAUAGUGUCUUUCUAUUCAGUAAGCAUAUUAAAUGGCCAGGCAAAAUGAGCCCUUCUACAGGCUUCCCAACCCUACAGAAGAGUCAUCCAGAUGGUGGAGGACAAGGAUUGACGGGCCGGGUCAGACCCCAUGUUAAAUUUUUCAAAGGAUGGGACCAGAGACUCAAACUCAGGUCAUACAGUCAACAAAGCAUUUCCACAUGACCAAUUUAACCAAUUUAGUGGCUGGUUGGUUAGUUCAUUUUUAGUUAAGCUACCAAAUCUCUCAAGUUAGCUGAAUUGGUUGUGUAGCAACACUUUGGUCUUCAGACAACUUUCUCUUCUAGGGGACCUGAAUUCAAUUCUCAGGUCUCACCCCUUGAAAAUAUUUAUCAUGAUCUGGUCCAUCAAUCCAAGCUACUUUCUGCUACUGGCUCCCACUACUAGGCAGACUGUGGAAAGUUUUGUUAUGAAAAAAUCUCUCAUAAGAUAUUUUUGGUAGUAGUUAUUUCCAAUCCUAUCAUUAUCCAUUCUUCAGCUGGAAUUCAAUGGGUCAGAUCCAGAUCCUUAUUGAAAAUCUGAUGGUUUAGGAACCAGAAUUGAACUCAGAUCGUUCAAAGUGGGUAAAUGAUCUUUCUUUGAUGGUUGGUAACAUAACUGUACAUUCAAUAUUAUAGAAUAAACAGUUCUUAGCCAGUAUUCUGAGAGCUUGUCAUAAAUGUUCUGCAAAAUUAUAAAUAUAUUAGCAAAAUGUGCUCAGCAUUGCCUAGUUAGAUUAAGUUAUAGUAAUUAAGCCACCAUAUCAUGCUUGAGAUAUUCUAUACCUAAUGGCAGCCACUUUUAAAGUCCAUAACAGGCUGGCCAAUACUCAUGAUCGGUCAACCAAAAGCUUGAAGGAUGAGAUUCAAUGAUUUGGUUUGGCUAUGUUAGUUAGGCCAUCAAAUCAUACUUAUAAUAUUCUAUAUUUUGCAGUAGCCAUUUUUAGAGUCCACUACAAGUUAGCCAACAUCCAUUGUGAAGUAGUGCAGAAGAUUAAAGGAUAAGAUUCAAUGGGCUAGACCCAGAUCCCUCCUUAGAAACUGGAAGUAUGGGACCUAGAUUUGAACCUGGAUCCUCCAAGGUGAUAAGCAACUGCUUUUUCUCACAGACCGACAGGCAUUGACAGGACCUAGUUUGAAAACUUAUAUUAUGUGUAAUAUAAGUUUUAGGAAAAUAUAAAACUUAUAUUAGGAAAAACUUGAUUUUAAUUAUUUGUAUGUUGAUUUCUUCUAUAGUUUCAG